UAAAGUGGCGCACGGGUGAGUAACGCGUGGGUAAUCUACCCUCGAAUCGGGGAUAACGUUGCGAAAGCGACGCUAAUACCGGAUGACAUCAAAGGGACCUCGGUUUUUUUGAUCAAAGGUGGCCUCUACAUGUAAGCUACUGUUUGAGGAUGAGCCCGCGUCCCAUUAGCUAGUUGGUAGGGUAAUGGCCUACCAAGGCGACGAUGGGUAGCUGGUCUGAGAGGAUGAUCAGCCACACUGGAACUGACACACGGUCCAGACUCCUACGGGAGGCAGCAGUGAGGAAUUUUGCGCAAUGGGGGAAACCCUGACGCAGCAACGCCGCGUGAGUGAUGAAGGCUUUCGGGUCGUAAAGCUCUGUCAAGUGGGAAGAACCGCCGUAAGGUUAAUACCCUUAUGGUCUGACGGUACCACUGAAGGAAGCACCGGCUAACUCCGUGCCAGCAGCCGCGGUAAUACGGGGGGUGCAAGCGUUAUUCGGAUUUACUGGGCGUAAAGGGCGCGUAGGCGGCCGUUUAAGUCAGAUGUGAAAGCCCGGGGCUCAACCCCGGGAAGUGCAUUUGAUACUAUUCCGGCUUGA
Molecule: ribosomal RNA, 580 nt
Filed under: uncultured bacterium
Lineage: Bacteria
Description: bacterial SSU rRNA
Rfam family: Bacterial small subunit ribosomal RNA
Source: RNAcentral